RNAcentral lists this RNase P RNA (459 nucleotides) under Actinomycetota bacterium. Its description in RNAcentral is "partial RNase P RNA component class A". It matches the Rfam family "Bacterial RNase P class A", at positions 1 to 270 of the family's 367-position model. From Rfam's summary of the family: Ribonuclease P (RNase P) is a ubiquitous endoribonuclease, found in archaea, bacteria and eukarya as well as chloroplasts and mitochondria. Its best characterised activity is the generation of mature 5'-ends of tRNAs by cleaving the 5'-leader elements of precursor-tRNAs. Cellular RNase Ps are ribonucleoproteins. Lineage: Bacteria; Bacillati; Actinomycetota. The record is from RNAcentral.
CGUGCAGGCCGGGUGACCGCGGGCCGCUCCGUCGUGAGGCGGAGGCGGCUCGAGGAAAGUCCGGACACCGCAGGGCAGGACGCUGGAGAGUCCCUCGGGGCGAUCCAGGCGGCGAAAGCCGACGGAAAGUGGAACAGAAAGGAGACCGCCGGCCGAUUUGUGCACGAUAGGGGCCUGUCCGGAAAGUGGUCGCCCCGGAUGGCGCAUGACACGUGCCGCGAGGCAAGGACGCAGGGAGCGCCAAUAUGCAGGUAUAUUGACGCGACUGAGGACGCCGCAUCGCGGUGCGUGGUACGUGCCAGGCGGCCGGAUCCACUUUCCGGACAGGCCCCUAGGCCGGUAAGGGUGAAACGGUGGGGUAAGAGCCCACCAGCGGCCGUGGCGACACAGCCGGCUAGCCAAACCCCGUCCGGUGCAAGGCGAAGCAGGUCCCGUUGACGCGGCCCGCCGAGGGACCGG